This 3817-nucleotide long non-coding RNA is filed under the name Daucus carota (carrot). RNAcentral's name for it is "long non-coding RNA (DCAR_LNC005511)". The record is from RNAcentral. Lineage: Eukaryota; Viridiplantae; Streptophyta; Magnoliopsida; Apiales; Apiaceae.
UUUUGUACAAAUUUUGAAAAUGUUCUAUAAAUCCUGAAACUUUUAUGUGAUUAGUUUAAUAAUAUUUCGGGAUUUGUAUAAAUAUUUUGGUAGUUGUCGGGGGAAAUUUUGCUGCGAGUUAUCUCUGUAAAUCAGUUAAAAGCGGGUAUAUGAUAGCUGAUUAGUCAGUACAUGAAAUAGAUGGCAGUUUAUAAUUAAGCGCGUGACCUUGCAUCUUUACUAACCUUCCGCCACCUGUAUUUUAUUUUGUUCUAUCUUCAGAAGUUAAAACCCCCAAUUCUCACAAUCUCUCUCCCUCGUGAAUCCCUCAGUUCAUCACCAUCCUUUUCACUUCCCCUCUGUACACAAUCCUCGCCUCCAUCACUCACCCUUGCAUCUUCACUGCUUUGUCUUCAGCCGCCGUGCUUUGUUAGGUUGUCUUUUCGCCGCCGUGUCCACUGGAAUCACGUGACGUUGCUUCUUCACCACCUUGUCUCUCCACCGCUGACCUUCUUCGCGCGCCGCCGCCGCUGCCCGUUCUUCUUGCUCAUCCCGGCGAAUUCACAUCCCCUCUCCUGAUAUUGUAAUCAAUGGGUAUAAAGCCAUUCUUCUUUGUAAAAUCAGUUAAUAUUUAUGUGUGUAUUUAAAUGUCGGGUAAUCGAAAUUAUAUUCGGGUGUACGGUGUUUAUACGUGUAUAAUCUGAUUUAUGUGUGUAUCAUCUGAUUUAUGUGUGUUUGUAUGUAUAUAAACUGAUUAUAUGCUUGUAAUUGAAGGUUGAUUGAAUUUUUGGAAAUUGAGAUUGGUGUUAGUAAUUGUAUGAUUGAAUUGUGUGCUUAAUUGAUAUUUGAAUUGGUUGUUGUAGUAUGAUUAUAAUUAGUACGCAAAAUAGUAGUAUAAUCGGAUGACUCAUGUACAUGAAUUAUGAGGAUAUAUAACUGAGUAUUCAAGCUUUCAGGUUAAGAUUUUGUGUAAAUGUUUUCAAAAUGGUGUUUAGGAGUUUAAGUAUUGGGCUAAAAUUUAGAUUUAUACAUAAUCCGUUGAAUUCGAGGUUGCUGCUGAUCUGUUUUGCAGUACAUUUCUGGGCUCAUAGAGUCAGAUUAUAUGCCUAAUCUUUGUGUGGUUAUGUGCUCCUCAGAGUCUAGUUUAUGUGCUCGAAAGAAUCGAAUCGAUUCGAUUAGCGAGCUAGGAGAUAUGACCGUUUUAGUAUGGUAUGCGCAGAAAAUACUGGACAGGGUCUGUUAUACUGAUUGCAGACUCUGUUUGGAGGUCUUAUACUUGGUGUUUAAUUCUGAAAUCUUUACUGGAGUUAGAUGUUAGUGUCUGGAAUAUGUCAUUAAAAUUUUAUACAAACAGACCAAUUUUCCUAUUUAUUAAAAUUCUUAGCGUGGGGCUGGUUCUGCAGGACAGACUCAGGUUCUUGACUUGCAGGCCCUGUUUUACUCCCUUAAACAUGGAAUUUUCUUCUGAAAUUUUUAUAGUAGAUUGGAAUAAUGUUUAGGAGUGUCUCAUAGAAAUUUUGUAUUAAAGAGAUAAAUUUUCAAUUUAUUAAAAAUCAUAGAGUGAGGGCUGUUUGAACUAUUUGUUCUCGUCUUCUUUCUUUGAUUAGUGCAUAGGAGGAGGUUAUACUUGGUUGGUCAGUGUUAAUCAUGUUUAAUAGUGAUAUAUGAUUUCAAAUCUAGCUAUGCAAGUGUGCAUACUGUGAUAUUGUGUUUUAAUUGAUAUUGGUCCAGUACUUAUUUGUUUAUUGAGUUGGAUUGAGUUGGUUACUUGUUGAAUAAUAUAAGAAAACAGGUGGAUAGUCCGAUAAAUAGAGGAAGUGCUGUCGAAUUUUCGUUAGAAACUAUAUAUGUUUUACUUGUUGAAGGAUAUUAAAUAGAUAAGAAUAAGGUGACAUGGUUAACUGAAACAUGUUAAAUGUUAACUUAUCAAUAUUGACUUUUUAAUGGCUAUAUAAGUUAAUUGUUCAACUAUGUGCUAUGUGUUUGUCUGACUACGUGGUAUGUAUAUGCGAAGGGUAGAUAUAUAAUAGGUCUUAAUGCUUUGCGAGCUUAGUUAAUCCGUCGACGACUGAAAUAAUAUUUUGCCAUCGUAUAGAAUUGAACGAGACGUUGAUCGAGGCAUUGAUCGAGAAGUGAUUGAAAUGGGUAUUCAGAAAUAGCUAAGUUGUGUUGCAAGUUGAAGUUAGGCAGAGAUUUGCUAUAGAUAAAAUCUUGUCAGAAGCUGGCAGAAAGGAAUGAUAUGGCACUACAUAGUGUUAUUAGAAAUCUGAGAUAGACACCGGAGUUAAGGCAAGUAUAUAUCCAACCUACUUUCUCUUUAAAAGAUUUUGCUCCUGCAAUGCUUUGUUAUGCUUUGAAUAUUGCAAAACUCCUUAUAGAAUUAGACUUCUACUAAUUAACUAGUAUUCUGGAAUUACCCAAGUAUGAAAUGGAAUACCCUUUGUCACUUAUAUCAUGCAAAUGUAUCAGCUUAAUUAUCAUCCUUAUCUUCUUCAACUGCCAGAUACUUAAUAUUGAGCUUAUAACUUUGUUUUCUUACCUCCCUCUCAACUACAACAAAUUGUGUUCUUGCUUAUAAACUAGUUCACUUGUUUGUUUCUGACUCAUAAAUCAAACCCUAUUUCUUGAAAGACCUUAGUUAUCAUCAUACAACCUACCCUGCCAUUAUUAUAAAAUACAUUGAUACACUUGAUUCAGUAACCUGUACCCUUGAUAAAGAAUACUUAAUUAGUAGAAAUCUAAUGCUAAGGUGUUGAAAUGAAUAUUUGGUUGAGAAUCAUUGUUGCUUACAGAUUUUGAACCUUGGUUUAAAAUGAAAAAAUGAAUUGAUUUAUCUGUUUUAGAAAGGGAAUUGGAUGAAAAUGUUUUAUGACCGAGGCGCCGGUCCCAAUUGAAUUAUUAAAGGCCAAAGUGUGCCUAGGAUCCUUUAUAUUUGAGAACUCGUAUUGAAUAUGCGGGUUCGGAGCUAUGUCGUGGGCUGAUCACCCAGCUUAGCUCGUAGCGUCUUAUCUGGUUCCAAUUCCAUAAAGAAGAAACUGUUUUGUUUAAAUCAUAUUGUGUUGGUAUCAUUAUCUUUAUAUCAUUGUUGGUUUGGAUAUUAUAUACUUGCUGAGCAUUCUUUUGCUCAUUCUUGCUAUUUCUUCUAACCCCUUUCAGAUAAUGUUAAAGAUGGUUCGCCUAUUUAGGCUAAGCAUAAGAGUAAGGCUAGGCGAGGAUUGCAAGUGACUAAGUUUCAACCUGAUGGUCAGGAAGAGUAUCCAAGAUCGAGUCCUUGGGACUAGUGGUAAUUAGAGUUGUCUAAAUUUGAUUUAGUUGUAAAAGCAUGUAAUAAGAUUUAUUAGUUUUACUUUUCUGAUUUCAAUAAUAUAGCCUGUUUGCGAUCCUGUUUUAAAGGGGGUUGAACUUUGUUUUUUUCUUAAAUCUUUUAUUAAAGCUUUUAGGUUUUAAAUUCUUUGAUUUUUAUUAGCUUUUCAACAAUACAUGUUUAGAAAGGGUAAAUCAUUUUUUUUAUAUCCAGGUUUGAAAUACUUGUUUUUACUUCCUUUUAAAAAAAAAACAUACAGAUUUUCAAUUGUUUUUCUUUUAGUGGCACCAAAUCUAGACCCCCGGAUUUGAGGGCUGUCACAGUUGGUAUCAGAGCUACAGGUUAUAAGUUAUUGAAAUCAGAAUGUAGGUUAUAAAAAUAGGUUUGAUAAAAAGGAUUAUGUGGUGUGACCUCAUAUAGAGGUAUCGUAAGACUAUUUGGGGAUAGUCUCUCUAAGCAGAAUAAAAUGAAGCUAGAUGAUUAAGUUUAAGUGUUUAUAGUUAUAGACAUCACGAUUCCUAAUUCUAGUUNNNN